RNAcentral lists this long non-coding RNA (5880 nucleotides) under Vitis vinifera (wine grape). RNAcentral's name for it is "long non-coding RNA (VVIN_LNC005916)". Lineage: Eukaryota; Viridiplantae; Streptophyta; Magnoliopsida; Vitales; Vitaceae. The record is from RNAcentral.
UUAAUAAACAUCAUUGCAUUCCAAAAUAAAAUUUCAUAAAAAUCCCCUUAAUCAAAUUAAGGUCUUAUUUCAUUAUCCAUAAUUCACUUAUUACAAGGUCUCAAUACCACAAACACAAUAAAAAAAAUAAAACACAUUCCACUAAACCGCUGCAGAGGCAUCCUGAAGUCCUCCUUGUCCCACCUGUGGAUCUUCAAGAGUGAUAUCUGCAUUUAAAAAUAUAUAUAUAAAAAAAAGGGUAAACAUUUCCACAUUGCUCAGUAGGGUGCCUAACACUCAAAGGGUUAAUGGGGGAUUUCUAUAUUUCAAUAACCCAAACACAACAGUUUACCAAUAUAAAUCAAGUCACACAAUUUAACAUAUAACAUUAUACUCAAUCCCACAACAUACAAUCAUUAAAUGAAUGCAUAUGAACGUGUGACACACAGUCAUACAAUACACUAUCGUUCUCGGGCUUUCACCGAAGGAUAUGCGUCCGUACCCAAAUAUACUCCCCAUUUGGAGUCUUCUCGAGGUAAACUUUUGGGUCUUUCACCCUAGGGAUCUCUCUCCCUUCUUAGUUCGCCUCACACGGGCUUUCACUUUUCAUCACUAUUUUUUUAUUUUCUCCAUUUCAUACACUUUUCACAAUUUUUUUUUCUUCAUACAACCAUGAUGCAAAUGAAUGCCACAAACUCCAAAAUUCCUCAAUAAUUUCAACAAUUCCAACAUUUUCAAUAACCCAAUAAAAUAAAAUUUUCACAUUAAAAUUCCCGAAUAUAUACCAACGAAUUUUCGGAAAUUCACACAUCAAUAUACUUGAAUUUAUAUCACAAAUUUCAGAAUUUUUCAAUAAUUCUAAUAAUUCCUAAUAUUUGAAAAUAACUAAUUUUUCACAAUAAAAUUACCGCAAAUAUUCCAAUCAAUUUUCAAAAAUUCAUAAAUCACUAGAUUUGAAAUCUUGCCCUAAUUCCAGAAUUUUCCUACAUUUCUAACAAUUUUUAACAACCUAAAAUAGUUAUUUAUCAAUUACAAAGAAUUCCAAAAAUUACAAAAAAAUUCAGAAAAAAUCUCAAAUCAUUCCAAAAAAUUCACACAACAUCACAAUUACCUACUUAACUCAUAAUUAUCAGAUUUAUAAUUUUUUCCAAUGAAAAAUACAUUAAAUUUGAGUUUUAGGGUUAGUUUUCCCCUACCACAAAUUUGAGAAUUUGGCCGUUAAAAACAAAAUCAGCCACCGUAGACUUGUUCCUCUAGUCGAAUAGAGCACUUCCUCCGAAUUUGGGCCGAAAUGGAGGUCGUUUGGCCAUCCAAACGGCCGGUCAAAUCUCCGACGAGAACCCCAAAAUUCCACAGCCGCUGCUCCUUUCUUCUCCCCGCGUUCUGCCCUUUUCAAAAACUCCCUUUUUCCUUUUUUUUUUUUUUUUUUUUUUUUUUUAACAGCCCACUUUUGUAUUCCUACCACUACCGGCCACUAAAGCCCAAAAACAAGGCCCAAAGAUUUUAUUUCCAUCCAUACUUAUGGGCCACUCCCAAAAACUCAUUUGCAUAAAGAAAAUUUUAUUUCUUUUAUUUUUACUUUUCUUUUAUUUAUUCUAAUUGUUUUAUUUGAUUUCCAAUUCUUUUUUUUUUAACACAUAAAUUUAUUUAUUAACACUAAUCUAAAAUUAAUUUUUCUCAAUUUUAUUAUUCAUCAAUUUAAUUUAAUUUUUCUUAAUUAAUUCUAAUUAAUUUUGAAUUAAUUCAUUUUUUUUUCGUUUUUCGUUUCCGAAAAUUUUCAAUUUUUAAAAUCUUAAGAAAUUUUCUACCCUAAGGCUGAUAUGGCAUAAAAUUUCAACUCGUCUAUUUGACCGACACAAUAAAAUGAAAUUUACCAAUCCGAAAUUGACACGUGUUCUUUAAACACUUUUUUUUUUUUUUACUUUUCAACCAUCACAUAAAAUAAGACUUUUCAAACUAAAAAUACUAACGUGUCAUAAAAUAUCCGAUCAUUACAUAUAUUAUUUUUGUAAUAAUAAUUCUGAAUACAGAUAAGAAAGGAAUAGUUCAUAUGAUAUUUAUUGAAGUGUGGCGGUUACCCUGAAGUGAGUAAAAGGUUUUUAUCUCUCGACCAAAAGAUCAUUUUUGUGGUGAUAAUUCUAAAUUACCAUAAGACGGUGACAGUCUAUAUGGCAUUUAGUGAUGUGAGGUCGAUAUCCGAAAGAGACAACAGUUCUUUUCUCUCAGGCAGAGAGCGAUGCCAUUUCUAAACGGGGGCCAAUUAGUUAAAGCAACUGGAAAUUAUAUAUAUAUAUAUAUAUAUAUAUAUAUAUAUAUAUAUAUAUAUAUAUAUAACAAUCUAAAAAAAUUAAUUAUGCCACUCAGAGAACAACCGCAAGUGAUCAAUCCGAUAAAUUUUAGCUAAAUCCUACCGACACGUGUUUCCUCUUUUCGAUUUAAGAUACAUGUAGUAAGAAGGCCCACGAGACGCUUAAAAUUGGAUUGUUAUGCAUUUGAGGCCAUCUCCCUAUAAGAAAAAGACUGAGAGGUGUAAGGUGAGAGACAACCCUAACCAUUUUGGCGAGGCACAAUGGCGGUAGAGAGAGUGCAAACCAUCGCAUUUUCAUCCAUCUUGGUGGACACCAUCCCACCCGAGUUCAUUAGAUCUGAAAAAGAACAACCUGCUCUCACAACCUGUCUUGGGUGUAUCCCUCAAGUCCCCACCAUUGAUUUCAGCGACCCAGAUGAAGGCAACCUCACAAGAUUGAUUGCGGAGGCUAGCAGCGAGUGGGCGAUGUUCCAGAUUGUGAAUCAUGGCAUUCCUAGUGAGGUUAUUACCAAUUUGCAGAAGGCUGGCAAGGAGUUCUUUGAGCUCCCACAAGAGGAAAAGGAACUUUACGCCAAGCCUCCUGAUUCCAAGUCCAUUGAAGGCUAUGGAAGCAAGCUGCAAAAAGAAGUGGAGGGCAAGAAAGCUUGGGUUGAUCACUUGUUCCAUAACAUCUGGCCCCCUUCUGCUAUCAACUAUCAGUACUGGCCUAAAAACCCACCUUCGUACAGGUUUGAAAUACCGUCAUUAUUUUACCUGCAUUAUGCUAGCUCUUUUCUUGGCAUUUACCUUUUCUUUUACACACUGCUUCAUCCUCAUCUUCAUGUGACAUGCACCUCAAAAGCUGAACACUUUGUAUUUUUUCUUUUAUCAUUUUGUUGGGAAGGGAGGGACAAAGAGAGAGUGAGAUGUUUUUACUUUCUUUUUUUUCCUUCUAAGAACCACCUAAUCUCGUUUGGACAAUACAAACGAAAAGCUUAAUGAAAAUAAAUAUAUUUUUGUAAUCAAUUUUUUUUUCAAUAAUCACGUUUUUGUAUUUUUAAACAUAAUCUUUCUAAAUAUCACAUUUUCUGUAAGCCGAGCGAAUAUAUUCUCGAAAAUUCAAAAUAUUGGUCAUAAUUGAAAAAUAAAUUUAAAAGUUACUUUUGAAAAAAUUGGUCUGAAUGAGUAAGAUAAUUUUUAUUUUUUAGUGUUUGGACUGACGAAGCCAGCUUGCCCCCAUGAAACCAAUUUUUUCUGGCUCCGCCAAUGGACAAGUCUACUAAAAAACAGAUAAGACCUGAAUCAUAUUGAAUGUAUUUAUGGAGUUUUAUUUUAUCAAUCAUUUCCCUCUUGAAUAAUCUCAGGGCUGUGAAUGAAGAGUACUGCAAGUGGGUACAACCAGUGGGACAUAGGUUACUCAGUUUGCUGUCAUUAGGGUUAGGACUGGAAAAAAAUGAGCUCAAAGAGAACGUGGGUGGUGAUGAAUUGAAGUACCUUUUGAAGAUCAAUUAUUACCCACCAUGUCCUCGUCCAGACCUGGCUCUCGGGGUGGUUGCCCACACCGACAUGUCCUCCAUUACCAUUCUCGUUCCCAACGAAGUUCAGGGCCUGCAGGUCUUUAGAGAUGAUCAUUGGUUUGAUGUCAAGUACAUCCCUGAUGCCCUUGUCAUUCAUAUUGGUGACCAGUUGGAGGUUCGUCUUUCUUUCUUUCCUUCUCACACAAUUUCUUAAUCAUUUUUUCCCUUCAAAAUUAGCUAGGGUUUGUUGUAUACAUCAUGUUUCAAAAUCUUCCCAUCAUCAUAUCACGCCAGUUUGACGUUAUUUACAUUCUAACUUCAUUAUAAGACCAGGGGCUUCGUAUACAAUUAAGAUAGAAGCAUUAAAGAAUUAAAUAACGUUGUUUUGCAGAUUUUGAGCAAUGGCAAGUACAAGAGUGUGCUUCACAGAACAACUGUGACCAAGGAGAUAACCAGAAUGUCGUGGCCUGUGUUCUUGGAGCCGCCAUCGGAGUUGGCCAUCGGUCCUCUUCCAAAGCUCAUUAAUGAAAAGAAUCCACCAAAAUAUCAGAAGAAGAAGUACUGUGAUUAUGUCUAUUGCAAGCUUAACAAAAUUGCCCAGUAAAUUAAGGACGCACCUUUCUUUGAUCUUUUGUAGUAUGUCUUUUUCAGCGUCCACUUCUGCAUGUCGGGAAGUUGAAUACUUUAUAUGUGACGGUUCUAUUUAUUAGAAAAAUGUGAUUCUUUUGCCGCUUGUCGAUUUGAGAUCUUCAGAUCGAACUCUUCAAACUCUCAAUUGAGAACUCCAAAAGAGAAUCAGAGAUUUAUUUAGAGAUUAAAUCAAGAUCAUAAAUUUCACAAAAGUCAGUCAUAUUUGCAUGUUUACUAUCUCCACCAUCAUAGAAGCUUUAAGUAAAGAUGACGAAGAACAUCUAAUUCCAUUAAUUACAGUGGGCCUGCUCUCCUGUUUCCGAUUUGAGGUCAAGGGUAAUUAGUUGGUUGGCUGGCUAGCUUUGAAGUCAAAACUGAGGUAUGGCCGUACGGCUAGGUAUCUAAGAAUUAAAAAAUCUUGGAAUUGAAAAAAUGGGUCACCAAUUUAAUAAUGGAUGGGUCCCCCUCCCCUAUCGCCCAUGCCUUCAAUACUUAAAAUCAAACAUAUAUGUAUAUAAAAGACCUUUGAUUUGGAUGAUGAUGCAUAUGCAGGAUUAUUGGUUUGAAUAAUGUGGCUCGAUAUUCAAAGGUAGAACAAAGUAUUGCCGCUAUUGCCUGGGUACAGACUGUGCAGUCGCCAUGAUAAGGUUGGUACAUGCUUUUAAGCGGAUCAGAUUUUACUGCGUCAACCUCACAUUGCUUCAGGCGGUUUUGUUCCGUGGAAUAAAUUCCAAUCAUCUCAUGGCCUUUUUUUAGUUAAUUCUGUCUCAAAAACUUUAUGAGACCAAGAUUGAUGUCACGAAAUCUUUAAUUCCUUAUUAUAAUUGGUCCACUGAGACAGCAGUUGAACGUGGAUCCUCCUUAUUGGACCAAUUCACAGUUGUCAUUCAGCAUUGAUCGUCCUCGUUCUACCAUGUAAAUUAUAAAUUAAACUCUCCAUGAUACGUGUAAAAAAGGGUGCCUCCACGUAUAUUACAUUUGUAAAUAAUCAAAGGGGGCGAGGCCAUUUGAUUUGUUGACAUUCAAAAUUGUGGAUAAAUUGUGGGUAUUCGGUUUGACCUCUUCUGGGAAUUGAGUGCUUGUGGGAUGUGAUCCAUGAUCCAUCCACAUUGUGACGAAGAUAGUAAUGGUAUUCCACAUCAGUCCUAAUUACUAAUUAGUGUGCUGCGACUCUCUCUAUAAAAGGGGGUUGGGGGAUAGGAGAGAGUUGCAUCCGUGCAUAUGUCCUGCUAUUCAAAGCAACAGCUACCAGUUGAGACUUAGCCAUUUUUGUAGAACCGCCAACGGACAUAGAGAGAGUGCAAGCCAUUGCCUUUUCGUCCUUAUCGGAGGGCACCAUCCCACCCGAGUUCAUUAGAUCUGAAAAAGAAGAGCCUGCUAUCACAACCUUCCAUGGCUAUGUCCCUCAAGUUCCCACCAUUGAUUUCAGCGACCCAGAUGAGGCCAACCUCACAAGAUUGAUUGCGG